RNAcentral lists this ribosomal RNA (499 nucleotides) under uncultured bacterium. Its description in RNAcentral is "partial 16S ribosomal RNA". It matches the Rfam family "Bacterial small subunit ribosomal RNA", at positions 29 to 523 of the family's 1533-position model. The record is from RNAcentral.
AUUGAACGCUGGCGGAAUGCUUUACACAUGCAAGUCGAGCGGCAGCGCGGGGCAACCUGGCGGCGAGCGGCGAACGGGUGAGUAAUGCAUCGGAACGUGUCCAUGUCGUGGGGGAUAGCCCGGCGAAAGCCGGAUUAAUACCGCAUACGCCCGAGAGGGGAAAGUGGGGGACCGCAAGGCCUCACGCGAUUGGGUCGGCCGAUGUCCGAUUAGCUAGUUGGCGGGGUAAAGGCCCACCAAGGCGAUGAUCGGUAGCUGGUCUGAGAGGAUGAUCAGCCACACUGGGACUGGGACACGGCCCAGACUCCUACGGGAGGCAGCAGUGGGGAAUUUUGGACAAGGGGGGCAACCCUGAUCCAGCCAUUCCGCGUGAGUGAAGAAGGCCUUCGGGUUGUAAAGCUCUCUUGUCCGGAACGAAACGGAUGACGUGAAUAUCGUCGUCUACUGACGGUACCGGAAGAAUAAGCACCGGCUAACUACGUGCCAGCAGCCGCCGUAA